UCUACAAUAGGAAAUCCGGCA
RNAcentral lists this non-coding RNA (21 nucleotides) under Caenorhabditis elegans. The record is from RNAcentral. Lineage: Eukaryota; Metazoa; Nematoda; Chromadorea; Rhabditida; Rhabditidae.